GGAAGAGCAGCCUGUGCUCUUAACCACAGAGCCAUCUUCUCCAGCCCCAGGAACUAAAAGUCUUCAAACAAGGGUCAGGAACCUUUUGUAUGUGGUUUAUUUUUAUUAUUAAGCUAAUUGGGCUUUUACAUAGUUCGGGUUAGCCACCACGCCCAAAUGUACAUAGAUUCUCUUAUUUAUAUAAAGAUUUUGUUUUUAUUUUAAAUUAUGUUUGUAUAUGUGGUGCAGUACCUGCCGAAGUCAGAAGAGGGCGCUGUAUCUCGUGGGGCUGGAGUUGCAGCCGGUUGUGAGUUGCCUGAGGUGGAACAGGGCUUGUUUUACCACUGAGCGCUCUCUGCAAACCUUAGACAUUGUUUCUUAUCUGUAACAAUAACUAUUCAGGGUAUGGAAUAUUUGUUAUGAGUUCCUCAUGCUGGCAUCCAACUCUGUUUUUUCUUUUGUACUGUGUUGUUUGAACCAAUAAAGACAUUGACUCAAA
This 478-nucleotide long non-coding RNA is filed under the name Rattus norvegicus (Norway rat). RNAcentral describes it as "long non-coding RNA NONRATT034039". The record is from RNAcentral. Lineage: Eukaryota; Metazoa; Chordata; Mammalia; Rodentia; Muridae.